GCUUGUCUCAAAGAUUAAGCCAUGCAUGUUCAAGUAUAGCAAGUGUACAGUGAAACUGCGAAUGGCUCAUUAAAUCAGUUAUAAUUUAUUUGAUAGUGAAAUUGUACAUGGAUAACCGUGGCAAUUCUAGGGCUAAUACAUGCGUCAAUGGUCGGUCGACCAGUAUUUAUUAGAUAUCAAACCAAUAUUCCUUCUGGUCUAUUGUGAUGAUUCAUAAUAACUGAUCGAAGCUUAGCUAGUCUAAGCUAAAUCAUUCAAGUUUCUGCCCUAUCAGCUUUCGAUGGUAGUGUAUUGGACUACCAUGGCAGUCACGGGUAACGGGGAAUUAGGGUUCGAUUCCGGAGAGGGAGCCUAAGAAACGGCUACCACAUCUAAGGAAGGCAGCAGG
Molecule: ribosomal RNA, 388 nt
Filed under: uncultured Prostomatea
Lineage: Eukaryota; Ciliophora; Prostomatea
Description: partial small subunit ribosomal RNA
Rfam family: Eukaryotic small subunit ribosomal RNA
Source: RNAcentral